This 253-nucleotide ribosomal RNA is filed under the name uncultured bacterium. RNAcentral describes it as "partial 16S ribosomal RNA". It matches the Rfam family "Bacterial small subunit ribosomal RNA", at positions 524 to 776 of the family's 1533-position model. The record is from RNAcentral.
GACAGAGGGUGCAAACGUUGUUCGGAAUUACUGGGCGUAAAGCGUGUGUAGGCGGUCCUGUAAGUCGGGUGUGAAAGCCCAGGGCUCAACCCUGGAAGUGCACUCGAAACUGCAAGGCUAGAGUACCGGAGAGGUUGGUGGAAUUCUCGGUGUAGAGGUGAAAUUCGUAGAUAUCGAGAGGAACACCGGCGGCGAAGGCGGCCAACUGGACGAGUACUGACGCUGAGACACGAAAGCGUGGGGAGCAAACAGG